Molecule: transfer RNA, 85 nt
Filed under: Holosporales bacterium
Lineage: Bacteria; Pseudomonadati; Pseudomonadota; Alphaproteobacteria; Holosporales
Description: tRNA-Leu
Rfam family: tRNA
About the family: Transfer RNA (tRNA) molecules are approximately 80 nucleotides in length.
Source: RNAcentral
GCGGUCGUGGCGGAACUGGUAGACGCGCAGCGUUGAGGUCGCUGUGAAGCAAUUCGUGGAAGUUCGAGUCUUCUCGACCGCACCA